GGGCCCGUAGCUCAGCCAGGAUAGAGCGGCGGCCUCCGGAGCCGCAGGACCCGGGUUCAAAUCCCGGCGGGCCCG
This 75-nucleotide transfer RNA is filed under the name Thermoprotei archaeon. RNAcentral describes it as "tRNA-Arg". It matches the Rfam family "tRNA". From Rfam's summary of the family: Transfer RNA (tRNA) molecules are approximately 80 nucleotides in length. Their secondary structure includes four short double-helical elements and three loops (D, anti-codon, and T loops). Lineage: Archaea; Thermoproteati; Thermoproteota; Thermoprotei. RNAcentral also lists the same sequence under 1 other name. The record is from RNAcentral.